CAAUAGCGUAUAUUAAAGUUGUUGCAGUUAAAAAGCUCGUAGUUGGAUUUCUGAUGAGAGUACGGGUCGGUCUUAACGGGUUGCACUGUUGUUACGUCUCGUCGUUUCGAGGGGAAUGGGUUCGCUAUUAGGUUAGUGGGCUCGGGAACCUUGUCGUUUACUGUGAAAAAAUUAGAGUGUUCAAAGCAGGCCUUUGCUGUGAAUACAUUAGCAUGGAAUAAUAAGAUAGGACUGUAGUGCUAUUUUGUUGGUUUGCGUACUAAGGUAAUGAUUAAUAGGGAUAGUUGGGGGUAUUUAUAUUCCGAUGUCAGAGGUGAAAUUCUUAGAUUUUCGGAAGAUAAACUUAUGCGAAAGCAUUUACCAAGGAUGUUUUCAUUAA
This 379-nucleotide ribosomal RNA is filed under the name uncultured eukaryote. Its description in RNAcentral is "partial 18S ribosomal RNA". It matches the Rfam family "Eukaryotic small subunit ribosomal RNA", at positions 592 to 976 of the family's 1831-position model. The record is from RNAcentral.